GAGCUGAUCGAUGAGCUCCGGCCGGCUUCUUCGCCAUCAGAUGUGUGGUGCGUGUGGAGUCGCUACGCGAUGAAUUGUACAUAGUGUGUUGUUGUGUAGUGCUGCAGCCUAGGGACACAUGUUGCUGUUCGUCGAGCCUUCGCUCGGCUGUAUCCACUGUUUCUGUUUCUAUCUCUAUCUCUACUACCUAAAAGAAACCUAACAUUUCCUCUUCUGUCUUAAGAUCGUCCUACUUCUCUCACGAGUAAUGCUAAACGUACAAACGAGUUACAAGCUUUUAUAAAGAGAGUUAAUUUGAUUGGUUAAUAGAUGACGAGGCGCCCCCACUUCCCUGAAAAUCAGGGGGGAGGGGGCAAAUUUAUAAUUGGUUAGUAGAUGGAAAAAAUCCUAGUCAGCGUGUAAUUGCGUGUAACUUUUUGUAUGUUUAGCAUUAUUGCUGCUCUCACCCCCACCCGACUGAUUUGUCUCAGUUUUUCUUUUGCGGGUGCUGAUCCAUGUAUGUUACUCCCUCCGUCUCAUUUAAUAUAAGACGUCCUUAUAUUAUGAAACGAAGGAAGUAAUUAGCAACACCAGCGCAUCCCUCUUUUUAAAGCUAACGAAGGAAACCGACCAGCCUUUCCUUGAUUCGUGGCAAGAAGAGCAGCCUAAUUACAGCGGCAGCACAGCACAGGGCCAAGGAGCAUACACGGUGGCGAGUCGCCGCCGGAACUCUCUCUCUACCUACAGAUUUGCACCAAUCUCUCCACCUGAACCCUCUCUUUGAUUUCAUUGCCCUCCUACCAAUCGCCAUGAAUUACCCAUUUACUCGCAUAUUGCCAAGAAUAGAUUUGAGGAUAGUGAAGUUGUAUAGAUUCACCAUGCUUCAUGCUUUCAAAUUAUUAAUUUUCAGGUGACUGGUUGAUAGAUGAUGGAUUUCUAUUACGAGAGGAGAGAAGAAACGAGUUGGAGAGAAGAUUGAUGGCUGCAUGCAGCCAACCGGCUCUUUUGUCCCUGAUCGAUUAUCCCCCAGCUCCCAACCAGGAGUGUGGGACGAGUAGAUGCCGGCGACGACGUGCGCGUCAUGGCAGGCGGGCGUGGACACGUGACGCUAUUCAGGGACAAGCUUGCCAAGGAGAUCGGCGCCGUGAAGUAUGUCAAGCGGGGCUACAAGGUAUAUGUCGUGCGUUUCAACUCCAUUCAUGUGUGUGCUUAGUUUUGGAGUUUGGUCUCGUUGAUGAUUCAUAGUGGAGUAGAAACAGGGCUUUGGAGCAGGCAGGGAAAGUCCAUUAAUCUCGGUGCACCUACGAACCGAGACCAAUGAGGGCAUAGGUCCUGGUUCAUGAGGCCAGGGCACAGGCCGGGUCUCGGGGGCCAUUGGUCCCGGUAUGUGUCUGGAACCGGGACCAAUGGACCUUGCUCCUGGCCCACCACCUUUAGUCCUGGUUGGUGUCUAGAACCGGGACCAAUAAUAUUUUUUUACCCAAACAAAACUAUAAUGUUCUACAAUAGUAAAAAGAAUCAAUUAAAAUGCUUUAAUAAAACUCUAAUAGGAAAAGGAAUCAACUAAAAAGAAUCAAUAAAAAAUAAAAUUUAUGCAACUUAAAUUAGAUAAAAUUUAUGCAACUAAAAAGAAUCAUUUGUAGUAUUAUUGAAACUAAAAUUAUAUAAAACUAUUUUCAUAGUAAAGUUAAUCACAAACCAGUGAUUCACACAAAUUUCAAAGAAUUCAAAUUUAAACUAUUCAAAUUUGAAAAAUAAUGACACUAACAGAAAGUUUAUAAUUUUUCUGACCUAAUUAAAAAAUAAAGCAAAAAAAAUAAAAAUAAAUAAUGAAAAAACAAAACAAAAAUACUAGAAAAAAUUUAAUCAAAUUUAAUAAAAUAAAUAAAACAAAAAACUGGAAAACAAAACAAAANNNNNNNNNNNNNNNNNNNNNNNNNNNNNNNNNNNNNNNNNNNNNNNNNNNNNNNNNNNNNNNNNNNNNNNNNNNNNNNNNNNNNNNNNNNNNNNNNNNNNNNNNNNNNNNNNNNNNNNNNNNNNNNNNNNNNNNNNNNNNNNNNNNNNNNNNNNNNNNNNNNNNNNNNNNNNNNNNNNNNNNNNNNNNNNNNNNNNNNNNNNNNNNNNNNNNNNNNNNNNNNNNNNNNNNNNNNNNAAGUAGAAACAAAAUAAAAUAAAUAAAGCAAAAAAAAAACUAAAAAAAAUAACAAAAAUGCCACCUACUGGGCCACCACGGCCUGAAUAAGAUUAGAGACCCAACCAUGGGCCAGGAUUUAGGCCCACAGAAGGCCCAGUAGGCCCACAGGCAGCACAAUGUGUUUUUAGACCCAGUAAGCCUACAUUUGAGAGGAGCUCGAGAGGGCAGCCGCAAUGGGGCUUAUAAACCACUCCGAGCUCCUCUCAACUAGCGAGGUGGGACUAAACAUUUGGGCGCGGGCAGGACAAGGACUUCGCUCUCGGUUGGUAGAACCAACAGGGACGAAGAGGGGGGGGGGCAUUGGUACCGGUUCGUGGCACCAACCGGGACCAAUGCGCCUUUUUAGUCCCGGUUGGUGCCACCAACCGGGACCAAAGGUCUCAGUUUCCCGCCCGUUAGGCUGCUGAAAAGAGGCCUUUGAUCCCGGUUGAUGUUACAAACCGGGACCAAAGGGGUACAUUCAUCCCGGUUCGUGGCAAGAACCGUGACUAAAGCUUCAUGUAUAUAAGGAACACCUGUGAAAAUUUUGGUUUUCAUCUUGCAGUUUGCCCCCGACGACGCGCGCGCCUCCUCGACGCCGCCAGGCUGUCGGACGCCGUCGCCCCUGCCCCGGAGCCCACGCCGACGCCGUCCGCCGCCCGCGCCGUCGCUGCCCACUCNNNNNNNNNNNNNNNNNNNNNNNNNNNNNNNNNNNNNNNNNNNNNNNNNNNNNNNNNNNNNNNNNNNNNNNNNNNNNNNNNNNNNNNNNNNNNNNNNNNNNNNNNNNNNNNNNNNNNNNNNNNNNNNNNNNNNNNNNNNNNNNNNNNNNNNNNNNNNNNNNNNNNNNNNNNNNNNNNNNNNNNNNNNNNNNNNNNNNNNNNNNNNNNNNNNNNNNNNNNNNNNNNNNNNNNNNNNNNNNNNNNNNNNNNNNNNNNNNNNNNNNNNNNNNNNNNNNNNNNNNNNNNNNNNNNNNNNNNNNNNNNNNNNNNNNNNNNNNNNNNNNNNNNNNNNNNNNNNNNNNNNNNNNNNNNNNNNNNNNNNNNNNNNNNNNNNNNNNNNNNNNNNNNNNNNNNNNNNNNNNNNNNNNNNNNNNNNNNNCCCACUCCGUCGCCCUCACCGCCCCCGCGACGCCCUAGCCGCCCCCGCCGUCGCCCUCGCCGGCCGUCCCCGCUAUGAGCCGCCGCCGCCCCGACUCUCUUUUUUUAUUUUAUUUUCAUAUAUAUAUAUAUGUGUGUGUAUUUUUUUCCAUGUAUAUAUACUAGUAAUUUGUACAUAUUAUUAUGUAUAGUCACAAAUUAGGUUAGUGCAUUAGAUGUUAGGUUAGUGUGCAUUUUAGAUUAGUUGAAUUAGAUGUUUUUAGUAAGUGUUUAAUAGAAUUAGUUAGAAAAAUAAUAAAACUAGUUAAACUAGUUUAUUUUUAGUAAGUAGUACUUUAUUUUAUUUAUUGUAAGUGCUUAGUUGAACUAGUUGAUUUAAUAAAACUACUUUAUUUUACUAUAGAAGUAGUUUAUUUUUAGUAAGAAAAUUAAUAGAACUAGUUUAUUUUUUUAGUUAAAGCAAUUAUUCCCGCAUCGACGUCGAUGAUGCCUAUCCCGCAUCCUCAUCGUCGACUCGGCGGAGGAGGCCUUCUUGAUCAGAUUGCCAUGUCCGGGACUGGGCUCCGCCGGGCUGGUAUUGGGAGUUGCUAUCUUUCGGGAGGUGUAGCUUGGUGAGGAGCCAGCCCGUCGUUGACCCGAACAGGGUUUGGUGGCGGUCGCGUGGGCCAGUGACGGUGCCGAAGCUUUCGGACACCAUAGAGGUGGUACGUCACCGUGUCAGCAAGGAGGACGAGCACGUCUGUUGCUACAUGGUUGCGUUGGAGGGAAGGUUCGACAAUACCUGGCAGGUUCUUUAGGGAUCUCACUGCAGCUAUGAUCCUGUGAUGGUUCCUUCUUUUUGGGUGUCCACCUCCCGCGCCGAUACCUGUCAGGCGCUACAGUUCUAGCUGUAGUAGCGAUGCUAUAUGUAUGAUACUAUUCGAGGUGUAUUAGUGAUAAUAUUCGACGAUGUACGGACGCAAGAGAUGAUGUAGUUUUGCUUAUUAAAUGCAUGCUAAUUUGAAUACUGAUUUAUUUUACGAUUUGGUUUUGCAUAUUGAAUGCUCAAAUUGGAAAACUACUCCUACUUUGAAUGCUAAAAUUAAACGCUCGAUACGUCCUUUUUUAGAUAGAUAAUUAAACGAUAUUUCAGGUUGACUUUAAGUCUGUCGAGGCUCCACUAUGAGAGAGGAUGAAGAAGCCCGACUAUUGUCGUGGGGGUCGUUUCUCCUUAUUCUCCGGGUGCUAGACCUUUGUUAUGCACUAGGGAAAGAAGGAGUAACGACCAUCACCGACGGUCGCAAAUGUCAAAGAGGAAUCAGUGAGAGAGAGUCUCCACCAUAUAGACUCGGCAGACCGAUAGUCGACCCGUGAUGAAUAAUAAUGAUCUAUUUUAAUUUUUAUAGUACAUAUAUUGAAUUGUACAAAUAAUCUUUGAAUUAUGAGCGAAGGAAAUGUCGUCAUCGGACGACGAAAGUCUCCCGGGGGAGUGCAACUGGUGCAACGACGACCAAGGUCUGUGCGACAGGCCUCACCUGGACGAAGAUCGGCGCUUCAACAUUAAGCUCCAAGAGACCUUUGAUGUUGAAAUGUAUGCAAUGACGAAAAGUGUUUUUUCGUAAUUAAGCAUGACUUCAACUAUUUCAACGUGUAAUUUUCAUCUUUUACAAUUCGAGUAGCUUAUCUCAUGCCAUGCAAGACACUAUGUCUUGGAGAGGAUGGAUUUUAAAGACCAUAAAAAUUUCGAAACAAAGAAAAUUCACCUAAGGACCCAUCAUGAUGUGGAUUUUGAAGUAAAGAUGUAUAAUUCUGAGAGUGUAACCCAUUUUGGUUGCAAAAAUUGGGAAGCACUUUGCAAGAUGUAUGAUUUUUAUGAGGGUAUGCUUGUCACCAUGGAUAUUGGUGAUCCUGACAUCGACCAAGACAAUAUGUACAUUUGGGUCCUUAUUGAUACACUUCCAAUUCUAUCGCUAUGUGAGUUUCUCAAACAUAGUUAUUAACUAUUUUAUAUUGUUCAUUUCAAAAUAUAUAGUUGAAAGCUUAUUUCCAUUGACAUCUUAUCUUCAUUGUUCAAACUAUGUGCGGAACAUGGUAGACAUAACCUACUACACCGAUGACUCUGAGUUAACUUAUCAGGAGAAAAAUCAUUUGGUCGCAUUUUGUACUGAUCUUGAGAAUUACAAUAUCUAUUAUAAAACUCCUCCACAUUAUGGUCAAUACAUGCCACUAGUGCACAUGUUGAACUAUGGUAACAUCCAUGGAGAUGCCAUGGUAAGAUUUUUUUACUACUACGACAUCCGUGCAUCUUGUGCAUAAAUUCUUUUAAAACAUUAACUACAUUUCUAACUACGAAGUUAUUACUAUGUUUUUCAACAGAAAAUCCUGAAUGAUUAUGUGACUCAUCUGAUGUAUUAGAAUGGUCGCCUUGAUGUUUUGAACAUACGGCCAGGUCAUCCUACGAAUCUCACCUGUCCAUAUCAGAUCUCUAAAAGAAGUGGAGACAUGAAAAUCACAAAAUAGAAAAAAUGUAUGGACAGUCGUAAGAAGGUUCUUGGAAGUAAAAGAAAGCGAAGCACAAGAAUUGGAGACAGGAUGAUCUCCAUUCUCCAUAAUGGAGAGUCAGGGCCUAUGUUGUUUUAUGCUAUUUUACCUUAAAGAGGGUAUUUAGGUCCUACCUAAUACUGAUGAUCAUGUGCUAAGAACAAUUAAGUUGGGUUGAUUCGAUGACUAUGAGGAUGAUGAUCAUAUGACUUGUUAUUAAUAACGAGUAGAAGUUGUAUGAUGAUGAUUAGUAGGACUUGUUAUUAUGGUGAUGCAUGAUGCGAGCAUGAAGAGUUUUUAUGUAUCAGUGGGUGAAAUGAACAUGGAUUGGAUUGAAGUGAAGGCAACAUAUGAUGCAUGUCGAAAGUAGUACUAAUCCAAACUUGAUGAAGUUAGAAUAUUAGUAUUAUUUUUGACAUGCACCACACAUGUUGCCUUCACUUCAAUCUAAGCCAUGUUUAGGCAUAGCAGUAGUGUUGGUAAACCAAGCACGGAGAUAAGAGAUAACACUUCUCUCUAUUAGCUAGCUAACACCCUAAAUUAACCCCCCCAAAACCAUCCUCUUUUAAAAAAAACAAAAACCUCAGCUCCUGCCAGCUGCUGAUGCGUGGAUGUUUUUUGGUCCCGGUUGGUGCUACCAGCCGGGACCAAAGGCCCUCCUGCCCGGGCUCGCCGCAGCGGCCACAUGGAGGCCUAUCUGUCCCGGUUGGUGUAAGAACUGGGACUAAAGGUAUAGGGCUUUAGUAUCGACCCUUUAGUACCGGUUCCCCAACCAGGACAAAUGGGCCCUAUGAACCGGGACAAAUGGCCCUUUUUCUACUAGUGGAGUCCUUGUUGAUCGAAUAGCUUGAUGGCUAUUACUGCAUGUUUUUGUUGCUGCAUAUGGUUUUGAGGUUUUUUUGUGUGCUUGCAGAUUAGUUAUCACUGGUCGCAGCGGCACCCUCACAACAUAUGAUUCCCAGGCGAUAAAAUUACCGACAUCCUGAUUCGGCAGUCAUUUGAUAAGUUUGUUUGUUGUCAAUCACGUUGGAUUAUUGAAAUUUGAAGGUUCUGAAGUAAAAACUUGGACCUGCUUGUGUGUCCUCUCCAAAACAUGGAAAUGGCAUUCUAUUUUUUUGGAAAUGAAUGUCCAUUAGAUUUUUACUUUUUGUGCAUCAUGACCGAAGGUGCCAAUUAUUAGUAACGUUGGGCUAGGUAGUAUUGACCCCACAUUAAUUCGAGGGUCACCUCACCAAGAUUGGUUAUAGUGAUUUUAGAAGCAUUGAUGUUUAUCCUAAAUCUCUCCGUCCGAUCUUUAAUUUAGCAUAUUUGUAUCCAUUAGGUAAAACUGAAUGGAUUUACUAUAAUAUGGUCUUAUUCUAUGUACAAUCAAGAAUGGACGUGGAUAGACAGCGCUCGUGCGCUCGAUAGACCGUCUGGGCAGACUUUCCAUAUAAAGCAAAUAUAGUUCGAUCAAACAUCCAAGACAUAAACAAUAGAAAAAAGCACCCGGUCCCCACAUCUGCGUGCAUCCUCAACACCAUGAUUUCUCAGACAAGAUUCAUGUGCAUUUAUUUGGGCUUUCAAAAUUUUAAAAAGCUGUAACUUUUGAUUUGGGUGUCAGUUUUUAGAUCCGUUUUCACCAUUGGGUUUCUCGUGACGAAUUCUUCAAAACUAGAUCUCAUAUGUUUAUGUUUCCAUGAAACUUUUUUAGAGCAACUUUGGAUGCUACAAAGGCAACUUUAGUACUAUAAGAAAGCAACUUCUUAGUGUUCCUAAUAUAACUCCCUACCAAUGGAAAGUCCUUAUAUAGUGGGCUACCAUGACUAUUAAGUUAACUAUAUUCACCUCUAAGUUGCGUACCAUAACACUAUGAUUCAAAUUGUAGACUACUCGAGCAACGAUGGACAACUAUUCGUAAUACUGUAGGCAACUGAUUAGCGAUGAGAUGAUGUUGGGCAUCAUUGGUAGGUGAUACGUCUUCGUCGUAUAUAUAAUUUUUGAUUGUUCCAUGCUAAUAUUCUACAACUUUUAUAUACUUUUCGCAACUUUUUAUACUAUUUUUGAGACUAACAUAUUGACCCAGUGCCUAGUGCCAGUUCCUGUUUGUUGCAUGUUUUUUGUUUCGCAGAAUAUCCAUAUCAAACGGAGUCCAAACGGGAUAAAAACUGACGGAGAUUUUUUUUUGGAAUAUUUAUGAUUUUUGGGAAGAAAAAUCCACGCGAUACGGUGCCUGAGGUGGCCACGAGGUAGGGGGGCGCGCCUGCCCCCCCUAGGCGCGCCCCUGACCCUCGUGGGCCACCCGUAAGGCAGUUGGUGCCCUUCUUUCGCCACAAGAAAGCUAAUAUCCGAAUAGAGAUCGUGUCAAAAUUUCAGCCCAAUUGGAGUUACGGAUCUCCGAGAAUAUAAGAAACAGUGAAAGGGAAGAAUCUGAGAACGGAGAAACAGAGAGAGAGAUCCAAUCUCGGAGGGGCUCUUGCCCCUCCCGUGCCAUGGAGGCCAUGGACCAGAGGGGAAACUCUUCUCCCAUCUAGGGAGGAGGUCAAGGAAGAAGAAGAAGAAGGAGGGGGGCUCUCUCUCCCUCGCUUCCGGUGGCACCGGAGUGCCACCGGGGGCCAUCAUCAUCACCGCAAUCUUCACCAACAACUUCACCGCCAUCAUCACCAACUCUUCCCCCCUCUAUGCAGCGGUGUAACCUCUCUCUUACCCGCUGUAAUCUCUACUUAAACAUGGUGCUCAACGCUAUAUAUUAUUUCCCAAUGAUGUAUGGCUAUCCUAUGAUGUUUCAGUAGAUCUGUUUUGUCCUAUGGGUUAUUUGAUGAUCGUGAUUGGUUUGAGUUGCAUGUUUAAUUAUUGGUGCUGUCCUAUGGUGCUCUCCGUAUCGCGCAAGCGUGAGGGAUCCUCACUGUAGGGUGUUGCAAUAAGUUCAUGAUUCGCUUAUAGUGGGUUGCAUGAGUGACUGAAACACAAACCCGAGUAAGGGGGUUGUUGCGUAUGGGAUAAAGAGGACUUGAUGCUUUAAUGCUAUGGUUGAGUUUUACCUUAAUGAUCUUUAGUAGUUGCGGAUGCUUGCUAGAGUUCCAAUCAUAAGUGCAUAUGAUCCAAGUUGAGAAAGUAUGUUAACUUAUGCCUCUCCCUCAUAUAAAAUUGCAAUAAUGAUUACCGGUCUAGUUAUCGGUUGUCUAGGGACAAAUAACUUUCUCGUAACAACAAGCUCUCUACUAAAACUAACUUAGUUGUGUCUUUAUCUAAGCAGCCCCUACUUUUUAUUUACAUGCUCUUUAUUACCUUGCAAACCUAUCCAACAACACCUACAAAGUACUUUUAGUUUCAUACUUGUUCUAGGUAAAGCGAACGUCAAGCGUGUGUAGAGUUGUAUCGAGGGUCGAUAGAACUUGAGGGAAUAUUUGUUCUGCCUUUAGCUCCUCGUUGGGUUUGACACUCUUACUUAUCGAAAACUGUUGCGAUCCCCUAUACUUGUGGGUUAUCAAGACCUUUUUCUAGUGCCGUUGCCGGGGAGCAAUAGCGUGGGUGGAAUAUUCUCGUGUGUGCUUAUUUGCUUUAUCACUAAGUAAUUUUUAUUUGCUAUUCUUAGUUGUUCUCUAUUUUUAGCUAUGGAUAUGGAACACGAAAUACCAAAAAAAUUAGAUGUACUUUCUGCUCAUGGAGAUGGGGAACCUCCUAAAACCGUCGAUGCUGGUUAUGUGAAAGAUAUUAUGUACUACUUUAAUAAUCCUGAGAAAACCCCAUUUAAUUAUGUAAUGGAAGUAACAUUGGAUCAACGUGAAUACUUUCGGGAUUAUCGCUUGACACAAAAAGGGAAACUAUUAUGGGAUCAAAUUCAUAUAUUGAAGUGGUAUGCUUGGCAAUUAUGCGUGAGUUAUGAUUAUACUUGUUGCUCUAGGAUGAAGGCUCCACACCUUCCCUUUUCAUGCAAAUUCAAUGAUAAUAAAACCUUAGCUUCUUAUGCUAAUGGUAUAUAUGAUUACUAUGAUGUGGAACAAAUAGAAGAAUUUGUUGUUUUUAUGGGUGCUUAUGAAAUUGAAUCUAUGUGUAAAGAGUUUAAAGAUUUUGAUGAUGCUGUUUAUAGAUCUGAAAAUUUAGCUAUCCUCAAAUAUUGCUAUGAGAAUUAUGAAUACAAUUCCGAAAUUAAUGCACUUAUUGAGAAAGUCUCCGCUAUCCAAGAAGAGACUAAUAUUUUGCAGGAGUCUAUGGAAGAAGAAAUUGAUGAAACUGUGAGCUCAUUGGAUGAAAAAGAUGAGGAAGAGAGCGAAGAACAAAAGGAGGAAGAGUGGAUUGAUCACCCGUGCCCACCUUCUAAUGAGAGUAACUCUUCAACUCAUACAUUGUUUAAUUCCCCUUCGUGCUUACCGAAGGAUAAUUGCUAUGAUGACUGUUAUGAUCCCUUGGAUUCUUUUGAAAUAUCCCUUUUUGAUGAUGCUUGUGGCCAAGAUGCCAAUAUGAAUUAUGCUUAUGGAGAUGAACUUGCUAUAGUUCCUUAUGUUAAACAUGAAAUUGUUGCUAUUGCACCCACACAUGAUAGUCCUAUUAUCUUUUUGAAUUCUUCCAACUACACUAUAUCGGAGAAGUUUGCUCUUAUUAAGGAUUAUAUUGAUGGGUUGCCUUUUACCGUUGCACAUGAUGAUUUUGAUAAAUAUAAUAUGCGUGUGCUUACUGCUCCUACUUGCAAUUAUUAUGAGAGAGGAACUAUAUCUCCACCUCUCUAUGCUUCCAAUAUGAUAAAAUUGCAAGAAACUGUUUAUACUAUGCAUUGGCCUUUACUAUGUGUGCAUGAAUUGUUCUUUUAUGACAUGCCGAUGCAUAGGAAGAGAGUUAGACUUCGUUGUUACAUGAUAUAUGUUACUUUGUGCUCACUACUAAAUGCUAAAUCAUUGUUAAUUAAAAUUGGCUUUGAUAUACCUUGGGAUCCGGGUGGAUUCAUUACUUGAGCACUAUAUGCCUAGCUUAAUGACUUUAAAGAAAGCGCUGCCUGGGAGACAAUUCGGAAGUUUUAGAGAGUCAUUUAUUUCUGUUGAGUGCUUUCAUAUAGUUUAAAACAACAAAAAUAAAGAGGGGAACCCAAAAUUUUUUCAAAAAGGAAAGUGAAAGUGAGAAAGACAAGCAUUGUUGAAGUGGGAGAGCUCCUUGAACUUUGUUCAUGCUCACGGCAACUUUGUGAAUCUUGAUUACAGAAAGUUUUCAACAAAAAUAAUUAUCCCCUUGUACAACUCCAUUGUAUUAUAAAAAUAAUGUGCCAAGGUUUGCCUUUAGGAUGUUUACAUUUGCUUGAUGGUUUGUACGGUGCAGGACAGAAACUUUGGCUGUAGUGCGCGAUUUUACAUUUUUAGCUGGAACGUCAAAUGGUUCUGAUUAUUUUUGCAGUGUCUUCCUAUACAAAUUUUUUAUUUUUCCUAAUUUUUGUAGAAUUUUUCAAGUAUCAUAAGUAUGGUGAAUGUUCAGAUUAUUACAGACUGUUCUGUUUUAGACAGAUUCUGUUUUUGAUGCAUAGUUUGCUUGUUUGGAUGAAACUAUCAAUUUGUAUUAGUGGAUUAAGCCAUGAAAAAGUUAUAUUACAGUAGAAACAAUGCAAAAACAAAAUAUGAAUUGGUUUGUAAUAAUACUUAGAGUAGUGAUUUGCUUUAUUAUACUAACGGAUCUUACCGAGUUUUCUGUUGAAGUUUUGUGUGGAUGAAGUGUUCGAUGAUCGAGAAGGUCUCGAUGUGAGAAGAAGGAAGAGAGGCAAGAGCUCAAGCUUGGGGAUGCCCGAGGCACCCCAAGUAAAUAUUCAAGGAGACUCAAGCGUCUAAGCUUGGGUAUGCCCCGAAAGACGUCCCCUCUUUCUUCAACAAGUAUCGGUAUGUUUUCGGAUUCGUUUUGUUCAUGCGAUAUGUGCAAUCUUGGAGCGUCUUUUGCAUUUAGUUUUAAUUUUUCUUUUAUGCACCAUGCUGGUAUGAGAUAGUCCUUGGUUGAUUUAUAGAAUGCUCUUUGCACUUCACUUAUAUCUUUUGAGUAUGGAUUUAUAGAAUGCUUCAUGUGCUUCACUUAUAUCAUUUGAAGUUUGGAUUGCCUAUUUCUCUUUACAUAGAAAACCGCCAUUUGUAGAAUGCUCUUUUGCUUCACUUAUGUUUGUUAGAGCGUGGGCAUAUCUUUUGUAGAAAGAAUUAAACUCUCUUGCUUCACUUAUAUCUAUUUAGAGAGAUGACAGGAACUGGUCAUUCACAUGGUUAGUCAUAAAAUCCUACAUAAAACUUGUAGAUCAUUGAAUAUGAUAUGUUUGAUUCCUUCCAAUAGUUUUGCGAUAUAAAGAUGGUAAUAUUAGAGUCAUGCUAGUGGGUGGUUGUGAAUUGUAGAAAUACUUGUGUUGAGGUUUGUGAUUCCCAUAGCAUGCACGUAUGGUGAACCCUUAUGUAACGAAGUUGGAGCAUGAGGUAUUUAUUGAUUGUCUUCCUUAUGAGUGGCGGUCGGGGACGAGCGAUGGUCUUUUCCUACCAAUCUAUCCCCCUAGGAGCAUGCGUGUAGUACUUUGUUUCGAUGACUAAUAGAUUUUUGCAAUAAGUAUGUGAGUUCUUUAUGACUAAUGUUGAGUCCAUCGAUUAUACGCACUCUCACCCUUCCACCAUUGGUAGCCUCUCUAGUACCGCGCAACUUUCGCCGGUACCAUAAACGCACCAUAUACCUUCCUCAAAACAGCCACCAUACCUACCUAUCAUGGCAUUUCCAUAGCCAUUCCGAGAUAUAUUGCCAUGCAACUUUCAUCGUCAUCAUAUACAUGACUUGAGCAUCCAUUGUCAUAUUGCUUUGCAUGAUCGUAAGAUAGCUAGCAUGAUUCUUUCAUGGCUUGUCUGUUUUUUGAUGUCAUUGCUACGCUAGAUCAUUGCACAUCCCGGUACACCGCCGGAGGCAUUCAUAUAGAGUCAUAUCCUUGUUCUAGAUAUCGAGUUGUAAUAUUGAGUUGUAAGUAAAUAAAAUUGUGAUGAUCAUCAUUAUUAGAGCAUUGCCCCAGUGAGGAAAGGAUGAUGGAGACUAUGAUUCUCCCACAAGUCAGGAUGAGACUCCGGACUUUAAAAUAAAUAAAAGAGGCCAAAGAAGUCCAAAUAAAAAAAGAGGCCAAAGAAGCGCUCCAAAAAAAACAUAAAAAAAUAUGAGAGAAAAAGAGAGAAGGGGCAGUGCUACUAUCCUUUUUCCACACUUGUGCUUCAAAGUAGCACCAUGUUCUUCAUAUAGAGAGUCUCUUGAGUUAUCACUUUCAUAUACUAGUGGGAAUUUUCAUUAUAGAACUUGGCUUGUAUAUUCCAACGAUGGGCUUCCUCAAAUGCCCUAGGUCUUCAUGAGCAAGUAGGUUGGAUGCACACCACUUAGUUUCAGUUUUGUCUUCUCCACAACCAAUGCUACCUAGUGCAUCCGUUGCAUGGCAAUCCCUACUCACUCACAUUGAUAUCUAUUAAUGGGCAUCUCCAUAGCCCGUUGAUAGCCCAUUGAUUCCACCUAUAGUGUUAUGUCCAUGGCUCACGCUCAUGUAUUGCGUGAAAGUUGAAAAGGUUUGAGAACGUCAAAAGUAUGAAACAAUUGCCUGGCUUGUCGUCGGAGUUGUGCAUGAUGUGAGUAUUUUGUGUGGUGAAGAUGGAGCAUAGCCAGACUAUAUGAUUUUGUAGGGAUAACUUUCUUUGGCCUUGUUAUUUUGAAAAGACAUGAUUUCUUUAUUAGUGGGCUUGAAGUAUUAUUGUUUUUAUGUCAAAUGAUAGACUAUUGCUUUGAAUCACUCGUAUCUUAAUAUUCAUGCCAUGAUUAGAUAUGUGAUCAAGAUUAUGCUAGGUAGCAUUCCACAUCAAAAAUUAUCUUUUCUAUCAUUGACCUACUCGAGGACGAGCAGGAAUUAAGCUUGGGGAUGCUGAUACGUCUCCGUCGCAUCUAUAAUUUUUGAUUGUUCCAUGCCAAUAUUCUACAACUUUCAUAUACUUUUGGCAACUUUUUAUACUAUUUUUGGGACUAACAUAUUGAUCCAGUGCCCAGUGCCAGUUCCUGUUUGUUGCAUGUUUUUUGUUUCGCAGAAUAUCCAUAUCAAACGGAGUCCAAACAGGAUAAAAACCGACGGAGAUUUUUUUAGAAUAUUUAUGAUUUUUGGGAAGAAAAAUCCACGCGAGACGGUGCCCGAGGUGGCCACGAGGUAGGGGGGCGCACCUGUCCCCUGUGCGCGCCCCUGACCCUCGUGGGCCACCUGUAAGGCGGUUGGUGCCCUUCUUUCGCCGCAAGAAAGCUAAUAUCCGGAUAGAGAUCGUGUCAAAAUUUCAGCCCAAUCGGAGUUACAGAUCUCCGGAAAUAUAAGAAACAGUGAAAGGGAAGAAUCUGAGAACGCAGAAACAGAGAGAGACAGAGAGACAGAUCCAAUCUCGGAGGGGCUCUCGCCCCUCUCGUGCCAUGGAGGCCAUGGACCAGAGGGGAAACCCUUCUCCCAUCUAGAGAGGAGGUCAAUGAAGAAGAAGAAGGAUGGGGGCUCUCUCUCCCUCGCUUCCGGUGGCACCGGAGUGCCACCGGGGGCCAUCAUCAUCACCACAAUCUUCACCAACAAUUUCACCGCCAUCAUCACCAACUCUUCCCCCCUCUAUGCAGCGGUGUAACCUCUCUCUUACCCGCUGUAAUCUCUACUUAAACAUGGUGCUCAACGCUAUAUAUUAUUUUCCAAUGAUGUAUUGCUAUCCUAUGAUAUUUGAGUAGAUCUGUUUUGUCCUAUGAGUUAUUUGAUGAUCGUGAUUGGUUUGAGUUGCGUGUUUUAUUAUUGGUGCUGUCCUAUGGUGCUCUCCGUGUUGCGCAAGCGUGAGGGAUCCUCGCUAUAGGGUGUUGCAAUACAUUCAUGAUUCGCUUUAGUGGGUUGCGUGAGUGACUGAAACACAAACCCGAGUAAGGGGGUUGUUGCGUAUGGGAUAAAGAGGACUUGAUGCUUUAAUGCUAUGGUUGGGUUUUACCUUAAUGAUCUUUAGUAGUUGCGGAUGCUUGCUAGAGUUCCAAUCAUAAGUGCAUAUGAUCCAAGUAGAGAAAGUAUGUUAGCUUAUGCCUCUCCCUCAUAUAAAAUUGCAAUAAUGAUUAUUGGUCCAGUUAUCGAUUGCCUAGGGACAAAUAACUUUCUCGUAACAACAAGCUCUCUACUAAAACUAACUUAGUUGUGUCUUUAUCUAAACAACCCCUACUUUUUAUUUACAUGCUCUUUAUUACCUUGCAAACUUAUCCAACAACACCUACAAAGUACUUCUAGUUUCAUACUUGUUCUAGGUAAAACGAACGUCAAGCGUGCGUAGAGUUGUAUCGGUAGUCGAUAGAACUUGAGGGAAUAUUUGUUCUGCCUUUAGCUCUUCGUUGGGUUCGACACUCUUACUUAUCAAAAACUGUUGCGAUCCCCUAUACUUGUGGGUUAUCAAGAGUAGGCAACUCGUUAGCAAUAUCUAGUAACCUUAUAGCACCCAUCAUAGGCAACUAACUAUUAAUGACAGCCAACUGAGCAUCAAUGAUAGACAACUUCAUAGUAUUAGUGGGAAUUUAGAAACAAUGACAUACAAGUUUCAAUGGUAUGCAACCUAGAAGUAGUAGUGAGUAAGUCAGGAGAAUGUUAAACAGAAUUAUCUAGAAUACGAAAUGUAGUUAAGUUGCCUAUUUUAAUAACUUGAGUUGUCUCUCGUAGAAGAAAAGUUGCUUAUGAAAAGUGAUGUGAUAUGAUCGACCUCUGUUUUGAAGUUGUUCACCGUUGUUGACUAGUUGCACAUCAUUGACUACUGGAUUCUUUUAAUGGAGGGAAGUUGUCUACCUUUUUUAGCACUAAUCCUAAUUUAAUCGUCAUUUACGUUGUAGGCAACUUCGAAGAAAACUAGGAGAAUUUUUUACCGCCUUUUUUACAAAACAUGGAUAUGCGAUAAUAGGUUUGUGUAUGCAUAAUAUAUGUUGUAUGCACCUUCAUAACAUGAGUUGCUUUCUUUAGUGCUGAAGUUGCCUCUAUGUAAUGCCAAAGUUGCCUACUGUUGAUGCUUAGUUGCCUAUAUAUGAUGAAAAUUUGUUUGGCAUGGUUUUUAUGCUAUCAACAAUAUACUUGCUAGAUAAAUCCAGUAGUACACGCGACGCAAGGAAGUUGCUUCUGUUUAUCACAUAAGUUGCCCAUAUGAAACCAAAGUUGCUUCUAAAAAAAUUCAUUAAAACAAGUCCAUAUGUGAUCUAGUUUUGAAGAUCUCGUCGCGAGAAACCUAAUGGUGAAAAGAGAUCUUAAUUUGGACGCCCAGUUCACAAGUUAUAGCUUUUAAAAAAACUGAGAUAGAAUAAAGUGGGAUGAUGUCAGCACAUGCAUGCAACUAAUCUUUAUGGACCAACCACCACUAUACUAUGCCAAACAUAAUUGCACAUCACAAGUGUGGACCAUUACCCCUUACGUGUAGCCGUCAAUUCAAAACAGACGGCCAGCGUGAGGGUACGCUCGACACAGCGAGAUAGCGCAGCUGCACUAUUAAGUAAUUAGGAUGAAGAAUAUGUUUGUUUAACCCCGUCGCACCUUUCCUUUGUCAUGGAAUAUGCUGCCGGUGGAGAACUUUGAAUGUGCACUACAUUACAAUCCCGUGAGAUGUGGUCCCACUUCAAUCUGCUUACUUUGUUAGAUCAUCAGGCUAUCUUUAUUUUGAACCAUCUCGGCUAACAAUGCAUGUAAUCUUGGAAUAUGUUUGAUAUGUGUGUCAAUAGCCAAGGUACUUCUUGCAGCAACUACUUUCAAGGGUUAGCUAAGUGCCAUUCAAAGGAAACAGAUGCAAAACCCAAUGGCCUAAGAUUUUAAAAUGCAAAAUGCCCUCAUGGCUGGGAUCCCAACCCAGUGAAAAAUUACUCAAGGGUGCUAAUAUUAUUAUUAUGUCAACUCCAACGUGCUUACUGAUGAUUGUACUAACUCUCUUGUACGUUAUAUGUUAGUAUUGUUUUGUGUUAUUUUUGCUAUUUGGUUCCUAACAUUUCGACCCGCAAAUAGAAUGUAGAUUACCUGAUUUUGAUUAUGCCUACUAAAUAUGUCUUGAUGUUGAAGCAACUGAAUGUGUAUGCCCUCGUGCAACGCACAUGCAAUUAACUAGUCUUUCUCAAAAUUCGGCCGGAGUUUCUUUAGCAUCUUGUGUUGCAUCCCAAGCAUACGUGUAUGCAUUUCUCAUAAAAAGAAGAAGCAUACGUGUAUGUACGUUCAAUUUUAUGUACCGGAGCUCAAAUGGAAAAUGGAAGAUUGCUCGGCGCCUUUAUUUCAUUUAAAAUUUUCCAUUUAAUUUUAUCUAUUUUUUCUUGUUUAAAUAAAUAUUAACCUUCUCUUGACAAAUAUAUACAAAUACUUUUUAAAUGCAUGACCACCUUUUAUAAAA
RNAcentral lists this long non-coding RNA (17111 nucleotides) under Triticum aestivum (bread wheat). RNAcentral describes it as "long non-coding RNA (TAES_LNC005047)". Lineage: Eukaryota; Viridiplantae; Streptophyta; Magnoliopsida; Poales; Poaceae. The record is from RNAcentral.